Molecule: long non-coding RNA, 681 nt
Organism: Daphnia pulicaria
Lineage: Eukaryota; Metazoa; Arthropoda; Branchiopoda; Diplostraca; Daphniidae
Exons: 3
Source: RefSeq, a predicted model, not a curated record
GCAUCCAUCCAAGAUUGGAGGAACUACCGAUGUCGACCAAGUUAUGGAUUUCCUCUUCUCCUUUCUCUAAAUCUCUUCUGUCCUCGUGUACACUCAUGUGUGUGUGGGUGUAUUCACGAGGAACCAAGCCAGGACCCCCUUUUCCCUAUCCCGCCUGGUAGAUUCAACUUAUCAGCAGACGGAGCACUUGUGGAUGCCAGGCCGUAUUUCCCAGGCAUAAAGAAGUGAAGCCUUGGAGCUCUUGGUGGCAAACGACAACCGCUGAAUGUAUAAGGGAUCACCAAAGUGAAUCAUCUUUUAGUAUCGUUUUACCCGUUCGCUGUUAUCGACACGGUCUCUGCCCCACGAAAUCAACGUGGUGUUGACAUAUUCAACCCGUUCAGCUCGAAUCAUCUGGAUGCCUAGAAAACCAGAUCGUCGUUACUAUAUGUACUGUAAUGGUUGAGAGGAUGCGGCCUAGAUGAACCAAAAAGACAUCGACACGACGACGACCACGACGGGUCUGCAACACGAUCGACAAGGAUCAUCUAUUAUUGUUGUUGGUAUGAUUUUUUUGUAAGUUGGCUGCCACGUAUUUUUCUCCCCAUGUUAGCUCCUUGACGGUGCGCGAAAGAGCUUCUAACACAUGCUAAACAAAUUACCUGAAUUUCAUGAUUCAAAAUGUUUAUGCUUCGCUUGAAG